This 92-nucleotide ribosomal RNA is filed under the name Ailuropoda melanoleuca (giant panda). Lineage: Eukaryota; Metazoa; Chordata; Mammalia; Carnivora; Ursidae. The record is from RNAcentral.
GUCUAUGGCCAUACCACCCUGAAUGCACCCCAUCUCAUCCAAUCUCAGAAGCUAAGAAGGGUUGGGCCUGGUUAGUACUUGGAUGGGAGACC